AAUGCAGUAGGGUUUACAACUAAAUGAUCACAAGCAGUAACAGAUCUCUUUGUUCCUUCUCCACUUCCACUGCUUCACU
Molecule: small RNA, 79 nt
Filed under: Pongo abelii (Sumatran orangutan)
Lineage: Eukaryota; Metazoa; Chordata; Mammalia; Primates; Hominidae
Source: RNAcentral